RNAcentral lists this ribosomal RNA (285 nucleotides) under Triticum aestivum (bread wheat). RNAcentral describes it as "partial small subunit ribosomal RNA". Lineage: Eukaryota; Viridiplantae; Streptophyta; Magnoliopsida; Poales; Poaceae. The record is from RNAcentral.
GUGUACAAUACCCUUGGGGUGAGCUACAAGCGCGAGAACAAACUGGACAAGGCAAUCAAGCAAUUCGAGAAGGUCGUGGAGCUCCGACCAGGCUUUGUGACAGCGUCGAACAACCUCGGCGAUGCAUAUGAGCAGCAGAAGGACCUCGCGUCCGCGCUCAGGGCAUUCGAGGAUGUAUUGCUCUUUAAUCCAAAAAACAAGGUGGCAAGGCCGCGCCGAGAUGACCUCAAGUCGCGUGUUGGCAUGUACAAGGGCGUGCCAGUGAAGACGACGGACAAGCGAUAG